AGGGUUCGAUUCUGGCUCAGGAUGAACGCUGGCGGCGUGCUUAACACAUGCAAGUCGAACGGAGCCUAUCGAGUGCUUGCACUUGAGAAGCUAGUGGCGGACGGGUGAGUAACGCGUGGGUAACCUGCCCUAUACUGGGGGAUAACAGUUGGAAACGACUGCUAAUACCGCAUAAGCCUACAGAACCGCAUGAUUCAGUAGGAAAAACUCCGGUGGUAUAGGAUGGACCCGCGUCUGAUUAGCUAGUUGGUGAGGUAACGGCCCACCAAGGCGACGAUCAGUAGCCGGCCUGAGAGGGUGAACGGCCACAUUGGGACUGAGACACGGCCCAAACUCCUACGGGAGGCAGCAGUGGGGAAUAUUGCACAAUGGGGGAAACCCUGAUGCAGCGAACCGCCGCGUGAGUGAAGAAGUAUUUCGGUAUGUAAAGCUCUAUCAGCAGGGAAGAUAAUGACGGUACCUGACUAAGAAGCACCGGCUAAAUACGUGCCAGCAGCCGC
Molecule: ribosomal RNA, 500 nt
Filed under: uncultured bacterium
Lineage: Bacteria
Description: bacterial SSU rRNA
Rfam family: Bacterial small subunit ribosomal RNA
Source: RNAcentral